AUUGAACGCUGGCGGCAGGCCUAACACAUGCAAGUCGAGCGGAUGAAGGGAGCUUGCUCCUGGAUUCAGCGGCGGACGGGUGAGUAAUGCCUAGGAAUCUGCCUGGUAGUGGGGGAUAACGUCCGGAAACGGGCGCUAAUACCGCAUACGUCCUGAGGGAGAAAGUGGGGGAUCUUCGGACCUCACGCUAUCAGAUGAGCCUAGGUCGGAUUAGCUAGUUGGUGGGGUAAAGGCCUACCAAGGCGACGAUCCGUAACUGGUCUGAGAGGAUGAUCAGUCAGCCUGGAACUGAGACACGGCCCACACUCCGACGGGAGGCCGCAGUAGGGAAUAUUAGGCGAUGGGCGAAAGCCUGAUCCAGCCAUGCCGCGUGUGUGAAGAAGGUCUUCGGAUUGUAAAACACUUUAAGUUGGGAGGAAGGGCAGUAAGUUAAUACCUUGCUGUUUUGACGUUACCAACAGAAUAAGCACCGGCUAACUUCGUG
RNAcentral lists this ribosomal RNA (484 nucleotides) under uncultured bacterium. RNAcentral describes it as "partial 16S ribosomal RNA". It matches the Rfam family "Bacterial small subunit ribosomal RNA", at positions 30 to 507 of the family's 1533-position model. The record is from RNAcentral.